This 72-nucleotide transfer RNA is filed under the name Camelus ferus (Wild Bactrian camel). It matches the Rfam family "tRNA". From Rfam's summary of the family: Transfer RNA (tRNA) molecules are approximately 80 nucleotides in length. Their secondary structure includes four short double-helical elements and three loops (D, anti-codon, and T loops). Further hydrogen bonds mediate the characteristic L-shaped molecular structure. tRNAs have two regions of fundamental functional importance: the anti-codon, which is responsible for specific mRNA codon recognition, and the 3' end, to which the tRNAs corresponding amino acid is attached (by aminoacyl-tRNA synthetases). tRNAs cope with the degeneracy of the genetic code in two manners: having more than one tRNA (with a specific anti-codon) for a particular amino acid; and 'wobble' base-pairing, i.e. permitting non-standard base-pairing at the 3rd anti-codon position. Lineage: Eukaryota; Metazoa; Chordata; Mammalia; Artiodactyla; Camelidae. The record is from Rfam by way of RNAcentral.
GAGGGUAUAGCUCAGUGGUAGAGUGCAUGCCUAGCACACAUGAGGUCCUGGGUUCAAUCCCCAGUCCCUCCA